AUUGAACGCUGGCGGCAGGCCUAACACAUGCAAGUCGAACGGUAACAGGAAGAAGCUUGCUUCUUUGCUGACGAGUGGCGGACGGGUGAGUAAUGUCUGGGAAACUGCCUGAUGGAGGGGGAUAACUACUGGAAACGGUAGCUAAUACCGCAUAACGUCGCAAGACCAAAGAGGGGGACCUUCGGGCCUCUUGCCAUCGGAUGUGCCCAGAUGGGAUUAGCUAGUAGGUGGGGUAACGGCUCACCUAGGCGACGAUCCCUAGCUGGUCUGAGAGGAUGACCAGCCACACUGGAACUGAGACACGGUCCAGACUCCUACGGGAGGCAGCAGUGGGGAAUAUUGCACAAUGGGCGCAAGCCUGAUGCAGCCAUGCCGCGUGUAUGAAGAAGGCCUUCGGGUUGUAAAGUACUUUCAGCGGGGAGGAAGGGAGUAAAGUUAAUACCUUUGCUCAUUGACGUUACCCGCAGAAGAAGCACCGGCUAACUCCGUGCCAGCAGCCGCGGUAAUACGGAGGGUGCAAGCGUUGAUCGGAAUUACUGGGCGUAAAGCGCACGCAGGCGGUUUGUUAAGUCAGAUGUGAAAUCCCCGGGCUCAACCUGGGAACUGCAUCUGAUACUGGCAAGCUUGAGUCUCGUAGAGGGGGGUAGAAUUCCAGGUGUAGCGGUGAAAUGCGUAGAGAUCUGGAGGAAUACCGGUGGCGAAGGCGGCCCCCUGGACGAAGACUGACGCUCAGGUGCGAAAGCGUGGGGAGCAAACAGGAUUAGAUACCCUGGUAGUCCACGCCGUAAACGAUGUCCACU
RNAcentral lists this ribosomal RNA (800 nucleotides) under uncultured Gammaproteobacteria bacterium. RNAcentral's name for it is "bacterial SSU rRNA". It matches the Rfam family "Bacterial small subunit ribosomal RNA", at positions 28 to 817 of the family's 1533-position model. Lineage: Bacteria; Pseudomonadati; Pseudomonadota; Gammaproteobacteria. The record is from RNAcentral.